Non-coding RNA from Cyanistes caeruleus (blue tit), 408 nucleotides. The record is from the annotation of a RefSeq genome assembly. Lineage: Eukaryota; Metazoa; Chordata; Aves; Passeriformes; Paridae.
GCCCGGGACACGCCCGGAUCCGGCUUUGCCUCAUCCCCAUCUCCCCUUUUUCCCGCAGGGCUCCGGGCGGCCGUGACCCUGCUGGAGUCCGGGGGGGACCUCCAGCCCCCCGGGGGGUCCCUGCGCCUCCUCUGCCGAGGGCAAGGAUUCCAGUUUGGGGAUUUUGGGAUGUACUGGAUCCGGCAGAGACCCGGGAAGGCGCUGGAAUUGGUCGCUGGGAUCAGGGAGAAUGGUGCCUUCACCGACUACGCGCCAUCCGUGCGUGGCCGGUUCACGAUUUCCAGGGACAACGGGCAGAGCUCGGUGACGCUGAGCAUGAACAACCUCCAGGACGAGGAUUCCGGCGUUUAUUUCUGUGCCAAAUCUGCUGGUACUGGUGUUUAUGGUGCUGCUGAUGAAAUUGGAUAA